This 160-nucleotide ribosomal RNA is filed under the name uncultured bacterium. RNAcentral's name for it is "partial 16S rRNA". It matches the Rfam family "Bacterial small subunit ribosomal RNA", at positions 355 to 508 of the family's 1533-position model. The record is from RNAcentral.
UGAGGAAUAUUGGUCAAUGGUCUGACGCACUGAACCAGCCAUGCCGCGUGAAGGUSACGGCCCUAUGGGUCUUAAACUUCUUUUGUCAAGGGAGCAAUAAGGCGUACGUGUAGCGUCGAUGAGAGUUACCUUGCGUAAUAAGCAUCGGCUAACUCCGAUG